RNAcentral lists this ribosomal RNA (119 nucleotides) under Pteropus alecto (black flying fox). Lineage: Eukaryota; Metazoa; Chordata; Mammalia; Chiroptera; Pteropodidae. The record is from RNAcentral.
GUGUACGGCCAUGCUACCCUGAGCAAGCCUGAUCCCAUCUGAUCUCGGAAGCUAAGCAGGGUUGAGUCUGGUUAGUACUUGAAUGGGAGACCACCUAGGAAGACCAGGUGCUAUAGGCG